AGGGCGUACGGCGAAUGCCUUGCCACUCGAAACUGAAGAAGGACGCGCCAAACUGCGAAAAGCUCCGUGAAGCUGUAAGGAAGCGAAGAAGCGGAGGUGUCCGAAUGGGGGAACCCGGCAGCAGACAUGAGCUGUCAUCUGCAGGUGAAUACAUGGCCUGCAAGAGAGGUACCCGGCGAACUGAAACAUCUAAGUAGCCGGAGGAAAAGAAAACAACAGUGAUUCCCUGAGUAGCGGCGAGCGAAAGGGGAGAAGCCCAAACCGGUUGAAGGACCGGGGUUGAAGGACCAUGACAUGGCAAGAACGAGGAUAGGAGAACGGGAUCGAAAGCCCGGCCGAAGAAGGUGAAAGCCCUGUAACCGAAAUCCGAGCAAAGCCUAAUGGGAUCCUGAGUACGGCGAGACACGAGAAAUCUUGUCGGAAGCAGGCGGGACCAUCCGCCAAGGCUAAAUAUAAACGAGUGAGCGAUAGUGAACCAGUACCGUGAGGGAAAGGUGAAAAGAACCGCGGGAGCGGAGUGAAAGAGAACCUGAAACCGUAUGCCUACAAGAAGUCAGAGCCCGUUAAGGGGUGAUGGCGUGCCUUUUGUAGAAUGAACCGGCGAGUUGCGACAGACUGCGAGGUUAAGGAGGAAAGACCGGAGCCGAAGCGAAAGCGAGUCUUAAGAGGGCGAAAGUAGGAUGUUGCAGACCCGAAACCGGGUGAUCUAGCCAUGAGCAGGUUGAAGUUGAGGUGAAACUCAAUGGAGGACCGAACCGACUACCGUUGAAAAGUUAGCGGAUGACUUGUGGCUAGGGGAGAAAUUCCAAUCGAACCCGGAGAUAGCUGGUUCUCCCCGAAAUAGCUUUAGGGCUAGCGUCGGAAAGAACCUUAGUGAAGGUAGAGCACUGAAUGUGUGAUGGCCCCAUCCCGGGGUACUGAAUACAAUCAAACUGCGAAUGUCAUUAAGGAUGUCCGGCAGUCAGACUGUGAGUGAUAAGGUCCAUGGUCAAGAGGGAAACAGCCCAGACCGCCAGUUAAGGUCCCAAAAUACAGGCUAAGUGGAAAAGGAUGUGGGGAUGCCCAGACAACUAGGAGGUUGGCUCAGAAGCAGCCAUCCUUUAAAGAGUGCGUAACAGCUCACUAGUCGAGUGACCCUGCGCCGAAAAUGUACCGGGGCUAAGCCUGAUACCGAAACUGCGGAUUGUAGGAAACUAUAGUGGUAGGGGAGCGUUGUAUACGAGCAGAAGCCGUACCGUGAGGAGCGGUGGAUUGUAUAGAAGUGAGAAUGCCGGUGUGAGUAGCGAGAUGUAGGUGAGAAUCCUACACACCGAAAGCCCAAGGAUUCCAGGGGAAGGUUCGUCCGCCCUGGGUAAGUCGGGACCUAACGCGAGGCCGAAAGGCGUAGUGGAUGGAAAGCAGGCGAAAGAUUCCUGCACCCGUAUAUGGAGCGAAGGAGUGACGGAGACGGAUAGUGUGACCCUCUUAAUGGAUUGAGGGCGAAGCGAAGCGGCUGGUUACCAGGCAAAUCCGGUAACCAAAAGGCUAGAGCGUGACAGGUAAGCGAAAUCUUCGGAAAGUAGCGAAGCACAUGAUGACGGCUUCCAGGAAAAGCUUCUGGCAAUGCAUAUGCGGCCCGUACCAAAACCGACACAGGUGGGCAGGGAGAGAAUCCCGAGGUGAGCGAGAGAACUGUUGCCAAGGAACUCGGCAAAAUGACUCCGUAAGUUAGCGAGAAGGAGUGCUUAAGCAAUUAAGCCGCAGUGAAGAGGCCCAAGCGACUGUUUAACUAAAACACAGCUCUCUGCGAAGUCGCAAGACGAAGUAUAGGGGGUGACACCUGCCCGGUGCUGGAAGGUUAAGAGGAUCUGUUAAGAGCGAUCUGAAGCAGUGAUCCGAAGCCCCAGUGAACGGCGGCCGUAACUAUAACGGUCCUAAGGUAGCGAAAUUCCUUGUCAGGUAAGUUCUGACCCGCACGAAAGGCGUAACGAUUUGGGCGCUGUCUCAGCUGUAGACUCGGUGAAGUCUUAGUACCUGUGAAGAUGCAGGUUACCCGCGACUAGACGGAAAGACCCCAUGGAGCUUCACUGCAGGUUGAUAUUGGGAUUUGAUGCAGCAUGUACAGGAUAGGUAGGAGGCAAAGAGAUGGAUACGCCAGUAUUCAAGGAGCCGCUGUUGGGAUACUACCCCUGUUGUAUUGGAUUUCUAACCGGACGACGUAGAGCCGUUGACGGGACAGUGUCAGUCGGGCAGUUUGACUGGGGCGGUCGCCUCCCAAAGAGUAACGGAGGCGCCCAAAGGUACGCUCAGAUUGGAUGGAAACCAAUCGUCGAGUGCAAUUGCAGAAGCGUGCUUGACUGUGAGACAGACAAGUCGAACAGGGACGAAAGUCGGGAAUAGUGAUCCGGCGGUGCCGAAUGGAAGGGCCGUCGCUCAACGGAUAAAAGCUACCCUGGGGAUAACAGGCUGAUCUCGCCCAAGAGUUCACAUCGACGGCGAGGUUUGGCACCUCGAUGUCGGCUCAUCGCAUCCUGGAGCUGGAUUCGGUUCCAAGGGUUGGGCUGUCCGCCCAUUAAAGCGGUACGCGAGCUGGGUUCAGAACGUCGUGAGACAGUUCGGUCCCUAUCUGUUGUGGGCGAAGGAGAUCUGCGGAGAGCUGUCCUCAGUACGAGAGGACCGGGAUGGACCUACCGCUGGUGCACCGGUUGUUCCGCCAGGGGCAUAGCCGGGUAGCUAAGUAGGGAAAGGAUAAGCGCUGAAAGCAUCUAAGCACGAAGCCUACUCCAAGAUGAGAUCUCCCAUUCGCAAGAAGUAAGACCCCUUAAAGACGAUAAGGUAGAUAGGCCAGGGAUGGAAGUGCAGUGAUGUACGGAGUUGACUGGUACUAAUCGGUCGAGGACUUAAUC
RNAcentral lists this ribosomal RNA (2885 nucleotides) under human gut metagenome. Its description in RNAcentral is "bacterial LSU rRNA". It matches the Rfam family "Bacterial large subunit ribosomal RNA". The record is from RNAcentral.